GAUGAACGCUGGCGGCGUGCCUAACACAUGCAAGUCGAGCGAGAACCGCUGGAAUGACACUUCGGUAGAAUGAAAGCGGGGAAAGCGGCGGACGGGUGAGUAACGCGUAGGUAACCUGCCCCAUACACAGGGAUAGCCUAGGGAAACCUGGAUUAAUACCUGAUGAAGCAACUGGUCGCAUGACCGGCUGCCAAAGAUUUAUCGGUAUGGGAUGGACCUGCGUCUGAUUAGUGAGUUGGUGGGGUAAUGGCCUACCAAAGCGACGAUCAGUAGCCGACCUGAGAGGGUGAUCGGCCACAUUGGAACUGAGACACGGUCCAAACUCCUGCGGGAGGCAGCAGUGGGGGAUAUUGCACAAUGGGCGGAAGCCUGAUGCAGCAACGCCGCGUGAGCGAAGAAGGUCUUCGGAUCGUAAAGCUCUGUCCUGGGGGAAGAACAAAUGACGGUACCCCGGGAGGAAGCCCCGGCUAACUACGUGCCAGCAGCCGCGGUAAACU
RNAcentral lists this ribosomal RNA (497 nucleotides) under uncultured bacterium. RNAcentral describes it as "bacterial SSU rRNA". It matches the Rfam family "Bacterial small subunit ribosomal RNA", at positions 28 to 526 of the family's 1533-position model. The record is from RNAcentral.